This is a long non-coding RNA of Pecten maximus, 818 nucleotides long. RefSeq lists it as uncharacterized. Lineage: Eukaryota; Metazoa; Mollusca; Bivalvia; Pectinida; Pectinidae. The record is from RefSeq and is a predicted model, not a curated record. The transcript is spliced from 2 exons.
UAAGACAAUUAGGAUUACCAGGUACUGUAUUAUAUAUAUAUAUGUAUCUACCUCUGUAAGACAAUUAGGAUUACCAGGUACUGUAUUAUAUAUACAUGUAUCUACCUCUGUAAGACAAUUAGGAUUACCAGGUACUGUAUUAUAUAUACAUGUAUCUACCUCUGUAAGACAAUUAGGAUUACCAGGUACUGUAUUAUAUAUAUAUAUAUAUGUAUCUACCUCUGUAAGACAAUUAUGAUUACCAGGUACUGUAUUAUAUUACCAGGUACUGUAUUAUAUAUAUACAUGUAUCUACCUCUGUAAGACAAUUAGGAUUACCAGGUACUGUAUUAUAUAUAUACAUGUAUCUACCUCUGUAAGACAAUUAGGAUUACCAGGUACUGUAUUAUAUAUACAUGUAUCUACCUCUGUAAGACAAUUAGGAUUACCAGGUACUGUAUUAUAUAUACAUGUAUCUACCUCUGUAAGACAAUUAGGAUUACCAAGUACUGUAUUAUAUUACCACGUACUGUAUUAUAUUACCAGGUACUGUAUUAUAUAUAUAUAUGUAUCUACCUCUGUAAGACAAUUAGGAUUACCAGGUACUGUAUUAUACAGUACUGUAUAUAUAUAUAUCUACCUCUGUAAGACAUUGAAGUAUCAAAAUGCUUCUUCCUUCUCGCUGCACCUUGCAGAUAUCCUUGAGAAAAUUCUCAGUUACAUGAUAUAUACACAUGUUUAUAAAGUAUGUAUAUUACAGUUAGCAGUGAGAGCCCCCAUCUGAGGCCCCUUACUGUAAUGAUGUGAUAACAGGGCAUGUAAUAUAUAUAUAUAUACAG